Molecule: unclassified non-coding RNA, 352 nt
Filed under: uncultured Bolbitiaceae
Lineage: Eukaryota; Fungi; Basidiomycota; Agaricomycetes; Agaricales; Bolbitiaceae
Description: sequence contains ITS1
Rfam family: 5.8S ribosomal RNA (bases 1-105)
Source: RNAcentral
GAAAUGCGAUAAGUAAUGUGAAUUGCAGAAUUCAGUGAAUCAUCGAAUCUUUGAACGCACCUUGCGCUCCUUGGUAUUCCGAGGAGCAUGCCUGUUUGAGUGUCAUUAAAUUCUCAAUCUGCUACAGCCUUGUGUUGUUAGUUGAUUGGAGGUGGGGGUCUUUGUGGGUUUACCUAAUGUGAAUCUGCUCCCCUAAAAAUUAUUAGCUGGAAUGCCUUUGCAAACCAAGACUAUCAGCAUGGUAAUUAUCUACGCUGGUGUUAUUGCAAAAGGGUAUCUGCUUUCAAACUGUCAUUUUGACACUAUGAAUCAAUUUGACCUCAAAUCAGGUAGGACUACCCGCUGAACUUAA